CCGACCUCCGCUCCGGUAGGGAUCCCGCCGACCUUAGCCUCCCAUUACGCGCCGGAAAUGAACCCACCAGGGAUCGCCCUAGUAACGCCGACUGAAGUGGUAACAGCUCAAAUCUGAACUCUGGCGUCUUUGGCGUCCGAGUUGUAAUUCGCAGAGGGCGCUUUGGCAUCUGCAGCGGUCCAAGUUGCUCGGAACAGGACGUCACAGAGGGUGAGAAUCUCGUACGUGAUCGCUAGCCUUUACCGUGUAAAGCCCCUUCGACGAGUCGAGUUGUUGGGGAAUGCAGCUCUAAAUGGGAGGUAAAUUUCUCUAAAGCUAAAUACUGGCCAGAGAACGAUAGCGCACAAGUAGAGUGAUCGAAAGAUGAAAAGCACUUUGGAAAGAGAGUUAAAAAGCUGGUGAAAGUUUCGAAAGGGAAAGGCUUGAGCCGGACUUUCUGUAGUGCUAGGGGUUUGUACGGAAAAAGAAGAGAAGAGAUGCUGAUGGAUCUCUUUCAACUGCCGUCCGA
RNAcentral lists this ribosomal RNA (508 nucleotides) under Neodidymelliopsis farokhinejadii. RNAcentral's name for it is "eukaryotic LSU rRNA". It matches the Rfam family "Eukaryotic large subunit ribosomal RNA", at positions 1 to 504 of the family's 3401-position model. The record is from RNAcentral. Lineage: Eukaryota; Fungi; Ascomycota; Dothideomycetes; Pleosporales; Didymellaceae.